GGCUCAGGAUGAACGCUAGCGGCAGGCUUAAUACAUGCAAGUCGUACGGGAUCCGAGGUAGCAAUACUUUGGUGAGAGUGGCGCACGGGUGCGUAACACGUAUGCAACCUACCUUUAACCGGGACACAACCUCGAGAAAUUGAGGCUAAUAUCCCAUAACACUGCGAAGUGGCAUCACUUUGCAGUUAAAACUCCGGUGGUUAUUGAUGGGCAUGCGCGACAUUAGCUAGUUGGUGAGGUAACGGCCCACCAAGGCUACGAUGUCUAGGGGUUCUGAGAGGAUUAUCCCCCACACUGGUACUGAGACACGGACCAGACUCCUACGGGAGGCAGCAGUAAGGAAUAUUGGUCAAUGGGCGCAAGCCUGAACCAGCCAUGCCGCGUGAAGGAUGACGGCCCUAUGGGUUGUAAACUUCUUUUGUACGGGAAAAAACCACCGGUCGUGUAUCGGUGCUGAUGGUACCGUAAGAAUAAGCAUCGGCUAACUCCGUGCCAGCAGCCGCGGUAAUACGGAGGAUGCAAGCGUUAUCCGGAUUCAUUGGGUUUAAAGGGUGCGCAGGCGGAGUGAUAAGUCAGUGGUGAAAGCCUACAGCUUAACUGUAGAACUGCCAUUGAUACUGUCAUUCUUGAGUAUUGUUGAGGUAGGCGGAAUGUGUCAUGUAGCGGUGAAAUGCUUAGAUAUGACACAGAACACCGAUCGCGAAGGCAGCUUACCAAGCAAUAACUGACGCUCAUGCACGAAAGCGUGGGGAUCAAACAGGAUUAGAUACCCUGGUAGUCCACGCCGUAAACGAUGAUCACUCGAUGUUGGCGAUACACAGUCAGCGUCUUAGGGAAACUAUUAAGUGAUCCACCUGGGGAGUA
RNAcentral lists this ribosomal RNA (864 nucleotides) under uncultured bacterium. RNAcentral's name for it is "bacterial SSU rRNA". It matches the Rfam family "Bacterial small subunit ribosomal RNA", at positions 21 to 882 of the family's 1533-position model. The record is from RNAcentral.